This 515-nucleotide ribosomal RNA is filed under the name uncultured bacterium. Its description in RNAcentral is "partial 16S ribosomal RNA". It matches the Rfam family "Bacterial small subunit ribosomal RNA", at positions 28 to 523 of the family's 1533-position model. The record is from RNAcentral.
GAUGAACGCUGGCGGCGUGCCUAAUACAUGCAAGUCGAGCGAAUGGAUUAAGAGCUUGCUCUUAUGAAGUUAGCGGCGGACGGGUGAGUAACACGUGGGUAACCUGCCCAUAAGACUGGGAUAACUCCGGGAAACCGGGGCUAAUACCGGAUAAUAUUUUGAACUGCAUGGUUCAAAAUUGAAAGGCGGCUUCGGCUGUCACUUAUGGAUGGACCCGCGUCGCAUUAGCUAGUUGGUGAGGUAACGGCUCACCAAGGCAACGAUGCGUAGCCGACCUGAGAGGGGGGUCGGCCACACGGGGACUGAGACACGGCCCAGACUCCUACGGGAGGCAGCAGUAGGGAAUCUUCCGCAAUGGACGAAAGUCUGACGGAGCAACGCCGCGUGAGUGAUGAAGGCUUUCGGGUCGUAAAACUCUGUUGUUAGGGAAGAACAAGUGCUAGUUGAAUAAGCUGGCACCUUGACGGUACCUAACCAGAAAGCCACGGCUAACUACGUGCCAGCCGCCGCGGUAA